CUUCACAGGACGAGGUGGCCGAGUGGUUAAGGCGAUGGACUGCUAAUCCAUUGUGCUCUGCACGCGUGGGUUCGAAUCCCGUUGUGACGU
Non-coding RNA from Paramisgurnus dabryanus, 90 nucleotides. The record is from the annotation of a RefSeq genome assembly. Lineage: Eukaryota; Metazoa; Chordata; Actinopteri; Cypriniformes; Cobitidae.